Molecule: transfer RNA, 74 nt
Filed under: Stegodyphus dumicola
Lineage: Eukaryota; Metazoa; Arthropoda; Arachnida; Araneae; Eresidae
Description: tRNA-Asn
Rfam family: tRNA
About the family: Transfer RNA (tRNA) molecules are approximately 80 nucleotides in length. Their secondary structure includes four short double-helical elements and three loops (D, anti-codon, and T loops).
Source: RNAcentral
GCCUUCGUGGUGCAGUGGUUCUGCACACUGGCCAGUUAUUCCAGAGAUUCGCGGUUCGAUUCCGGGCGAAGGCG